RNAcentral lists this ribosomal RNA (635 nucleotides) under Microbacterium sp. So1Ps_754. RNAcentral's name for it is "bacterial SSU rRNA". It matches the Rfam family "Bacterial small subunit ribosomal RNA", at positions 380 to 1024 of the family's 1533-position model. Lineage: Bacteria; Bacillati; Actinomycetota; Actinomycetes; Micrococcales; Microbacteriaceae. The record is from RNAcentral.
AGCCUGAUGCAGCAACGCCGCGUGAGGGACGACGGCCUAAGGGUUGUAAACCUCUUUUAGCAGGGAAGAAGCGAAAGUGACGGUACCUGCAGAAAAAGCACCGGCUAACUACGUGCCAGCAGCCGCGGUAAUACGUAGGGUGCAAGCGUUAUCCGGAAUUAUUGGGCGUAAAGAGCUCGUAGGCGGUUUGUCGCGUCUGCUGUGAAAACCCGAGGCUCAACCUCGGGCCUGCAGUGGGUACGGGCAGACUAGAGUGCGGUAGGGGAGAUUGGAAUUCCUGGUGUAGCGGUGGAAUGCGCAGAUAUCAGGAGGAACACCGAUGGCGAAGGCAGAUCUCUGGGCCGUAACUGACGCUGAGGAGCGAAAGGGUGGGGAGCAAACAGGCUUAGAUACCCUGGUAGUCCACCCCGUAAACGUUGGGAACUAGUUGUGGGGUCCAUUCCACGGAUUCCGUGACGCAGCUAACGCAUUAAGUUCCCCGCCUGGGGAGUACGGCCGCAAGGCUAAAACUCAAAGGAAUUGACGGGGACCCGCACAAGCGGCGGAGCAUGCGGAUUAAUUCGAUGCAACGCGAAGAACCUUACCAAGGCUUGACAUAUACGAGAACGCUGCAGAAAUGUAGAACUCUUUGGACA